Peromyscus californicus insignis is the source of this 276-nucleotide long non-coding RNA. RefSeq lists it as uncharacterized. The transcript has 3 exons. NCBI's taxonomy places the organism in Eukaryota, Metazoa, Chordata, Mammalia, Rodentia, Cricetidae. The record is from RefSeq and is a predicted model, not a curated record.
GUCUUACAUACAAUGAAUUGUAAAAGGAAAAUGUCUAAAUGAAGCAAAUAGAAAUGGGCUGCAUUCAGGGUCAUGAUUUGUGCUGCGAUGGAGAUCACUGCAGAAAAUCACAACCAGUAAAAAUGAAGAGGACAAUGGAACACCAGCCCCAAUGCAUAUAUGUACAACAUACCUCCUGCACCUAAGUCCCAUGGAACAGCCCAGAAGAAGUUGUGGUGAAUCUGGUGUUAUGCUGAGGUCUUUCAUCAAUUUGGAGCUGUGUGUUUGUGCAGAGUG